GACGAACGCUGGCGGCGUGCUUAACACAUGCAAGUCGAACGAAAAGAGGGAAAGAGCUUGCUCUUUCCGGAAUUGAGUGGCAAACGGGUGAGUAACACGUAAACAACCUGCCUUCAGGAUGGGGACAACAGACGGAAACGACUGCUAAUACCGAAUACGUUCCACGGGCCGCAUGGCCCAUGGAAGAAAAGGUGGCCUCUACCUGUAAGCUAUCGCCUGAAGAGGGGUUUGCGUCUGAUUAGCUGGUUGGAGGGGUAACGGCCCACCAAGGCGACGAUCAGUAGCCGGUCUGAGAGGAUGAACGGCCACACUGGAAUUGAGACACGGUCCAGACUCCUACGGGAGGCAGCAGUGGGGAAUCUUCCGCAAGGGGCGAAAGCCUGACGGAGCAACGCCGCGUGAGUGAUGACGGCCUUCGGGUUGUAAAACUCUGUGAUCCGGGACGAAAAGGCAGAGUGCGAAGAACAAACUGCAUUGACGGUACCGGAAAAGCAAGCCACGGCUAACUACGUG
Molecule: ribosomal RNA, 513 nt
Filed under: uncultured bacterium
Lineage: Bacteria
Description: partial 16S ribosomal RNA
Rfam family: Bacterial small subunit ribosomal RNA
Source: RNAcentral